RNAcentral lists this ribosomal RNA (257 nucleotides) under uncultured bacterium. Its description in RNAcentral is "partial 16S ribosomal RNA". It matches the Rfam family "Bacterial small subunit ribosomal RNA", at positions 526 to 779 of the family's 1533-position model. The record is from RNAcentral.
CGUAGGGAGCGAGCGUUGUCCGGAAUUACUGGGUGUAAAGGGAGCGUAGGCGGGAAAGCAAGUUGGAAGUGAAAUAGCAUGGGCUCAACCCAUGAGCUGCUUUCAAAAACUGUUUUUCUUGAGUGGAGUAGAGGCAGGCGGAAUUCCUAGUGUAGCGGUGAAAUGCGUAGAUAUUAGGAGGACACCAGUGGCGAAGGCGGCCUGCUGGGCUUUUAACUGACGCUGAGGCUCGAAAGACGUGGGUAGCAAACAGGAUU